GCGGACGGGUGAGUAACACGUGGAUAACCUACCUAUAAGACUGGGAUAACUUCGGGAAACCGGAGCUAAUACCGGAUAAUAUUUUGAACCGCAUGGUUCAAAAGUGAAAGACGGUCUUGCUGUCACUUAUAGAUGGAUCCGCGCUGCAUUAGCUAGUUGGUAAGGUAACGGCUUACCAAGGCAACGAUGCAUAGCCGACCUGAGAGGGUGAUCGGCCACACUGGAACUGAGACACGGUCCAGACUCCUACGGGAGGCAGCAGUAGGGAAUCUUCCGCAAUGGGCGAAAGCCUGACGGAGCAACGCCGCGUGAGUGAUGAAGGUCUUCGGAUCGUAAAACUCUGUUAUUAGGGAAGAACAUAUGUGUAAGUAACUGUGCACAUCUUGACGGUACCUAAUCAGAAAGCCACGGCUAACUACGUGCCAGCAGCCGCGGUAAUACGUAGGUGGCAAGCGUUAUCCGGAAUUAUUGGGCGUAAAGCGCGCGUAGGCGGUUUUUUAAGUCUGAUGUGAAAGCCCACGGCUCAACCGUGGAGGGUCAUUGGAAACUGGAAAACUUGAGUGCAGAAGAGGAAAGUGGAAUUCCAUGUGUAGCGGUGAAAUGCGCAGAGAUAUGGAGGAACACCAGUGGCGAAGGCGACUUUCUGGUCUGUAACUGACGCUGAUGUGCGAAAGCGUGGGGAUCAAACAGGAUUAGAUACCCUGGUAGUCCACGCCGUAAACGAUGAGUGCUAAGUGUUAGGGGGUUUCCGCCCCUUAGUGCUGCAGCUAACGCAUUAAGCACUCCGCCUGGGGAGUACGACCGCAAGGUUGAAACUCAAAGGAAUUGACGGGGACCCGCACAAGCGGUGGAGCAUGUGGUUUAAUUCGAAGCAACGCGAAGAACCUUACCAAAUCUUGACAUCCUUUGACAACUCUAGAGAUAGAGC
RNAcentral lists this ribosomal RNA (928 nucleotides) under Staphylococcus aureus. RNAcentral describes it as "bacterial SSU rRNA". It matches the Rfam family "Bacterial small subunit ribosomal RNA", at positions 98 to 1012 of the family's 1533-position model. Lineage: Bacteria; Bacillati; Bacillota; Bacilli; Caryophanales; Staphylococcaceae. The record is from RNAcentral.